GGUGAGUGCUUUGGGGUGGGGUGACUGCGUACCUUUUGUAUAAUGGGUCAGCGACUUAUAUUCUGUAGCAAGGUUAACCGUAUAGGGGAGCCGGAGGGAAACCGAGUCUUAACCGGGCGUUAAGUUGCAGGGUAUAGACCCGAAACCCGGUGAUCUAGCCAUGGGCAGGUUGAAGGUUGGGUAACACUAACUGGAGGACCGAACCGACUAAUGUUGAAAAAUUAGCGGAUGACCUGUGGCUGGGGGUGAAAGGCCAAUCAAACCGGGAGAUAGCUGGUUCUCCCCGAAAGCUAUUUAGGUAGCGCCUCGUGAAUUCAUCUCCGGGGGUAGAGCACUGUUUCGGCUAGGGGGUCAUCCCGACUUACCAACCCGAUGCAAACUGCGAAUACCGGAGAAUGUUAUCACGGGAGACACACGGCGGGUGCUAACGUCCGUCGUGAAGAGGGAAACAACCCAGACCGCCAGCUAAGGUCCCAAAGUCAUGGUUAAGUGGGAAACGAUGUGGGAAGGCCCAGACAGCCAGGAUGUUGGCUUAGAAGCAGCCAUCAUUUAAAGAAAGCGUAAUAGCUCACUGGUCGAGUCGGCCUGCGCGGAAGAUGUAACGGGGCUAAACCAUGCACCGAAGCUGCGGCAGCGACACUCAGGUGUUGUUGGGUAGGGGAGCGUUCUGUAAGCCUGCGAAGGUGGCCUGUGAGGGUUGCUGGAGGUAUCAGAAGUGCGAAUGCUGACAUAAGUAACGAUAAAGCGGGUGAAAAGCCCGCUCGCCGGAAGACCAAGGGUUCCUGUCCAACGUUAAUCGGGGCAGGGUGAGUCGACCCCUAAGGCGAGGCCGAAAGGCGUAGUCGAUGGGAAACGGGUUAAUAUUCCCGUACUUGGUGUUACUGCGAAGGGGGGACGGAGAAGGCUAUGUUGGCCGGGCGACGGUUGUCCCGGUUUAAGCGUGUAGGUGUGUGUUCCAGGUAAAUCCGGUUCACUUUAACACUGAGGCGUGAUGACGAGGCACUACGGUGCUGAAGCAACAAAUGCCCUGCUUCCAGGAAAAGCCUCUAAGCAUCAGGUAACAUCAAAUCGUACCCCAAACCGACACAGGUGGUCAGGUAGAGAAUACCAAGGCGCUUGAGAGAACUCGGGUGAAGGAACUAGGCAAAAUGGUGCCGUAACUUCGGGAGAAGGCACGCUGACACGUAGGUGAAGUGAUUUACUCAUGGAGCUGAAGUCAGUCGAAGAUACCAGCUGGCUGCAACUGUUUAUUAAAAACACAGCACUGUGCAAACACGAAAGUGGACGUAUACGGUGUGACGCCUGCCCGGUGCCGGAAGGUUAAUUGAUGGGGUCAGCGCAAGCGAAGCUCCUGAUCGAAGCCCCGGUAAACGGCGGCCGUAACUAUAACGGUCCUAAGGUAGCGAAAUUCCUUGUCGGGUAAGUUCCGACCUGCACGAAUGGCGUAAUGAUGGCCAGGCUGUCUCCACCCGAGACUCAGUGAAAUUGAACUCGCUGUGAAGAUGCAGUGUACCCGCGGCAAGACGGAAAGACCCCGUGAACCUUUACUAUAGCUUGACACUGAACAUUGAGCCUUGAUGUGUAGGAUAGGUGGGAGGCUUUGAAGCGUGGACGCCAGUCUGCGUGGAGCCGACCUUGAAAUACCACCCUUUAAUGUUUGAUGUUCUAACGUGGACCCGUGAUCCGGGUUGCGGACAGUGUCUGGUGGGUAGUUUGACUGGGGCGGUCUCCUCCUAAAGAGUAACGGAGGAGCACGAAGGUUGGCUAAUCCUGGUCGGACAUCAGGAGGUUAGUGCAAUGGCAUAAGCCAGCUUGACUGCGAGCGUGACGGCGCGAGCAGGUGCGAAAGCAGGUCAUAGUGAUCCGGUGGUUCUGAAUGGAAGGGCCAUCGCUCAACGGAUAAAAGGUACUCCGGGGAUAACAGGCUGAUACCGCCCAAGAGUUCAUAUCGACGGCGGUGUUUGGCACCUCGAUGUCGGCUCAUCACAUCCUGGGGCUGAAGUAGGUCCCAAGGGUAUGGCUGUUCGCCAUUUAAAGUGGUACGCGAGCUGGGUUUAGAACGUCGUGAGACAGUUCGGUCCCUAUCUGCCGUGGGCGCUGGAGAACUGAGGGGGGCUGCUCCUAGUACGAGAGGACCGGAGUGGACGCAUCACUGGUGUUCGGGUUGUCAUGCCAAUGGCACUGCCCGGUAGCUAAAUGCGGAAGAGAUAAGUGCUGAAAGCAUCUAAGCACGAAACUUGCCCCGAGAUGAGUUCUCCCUGAGACUUA
Molecule: ribosomal RNA, 2268 nt
Filed under: Salmonella enterica
Lineage: Bacteria; Pseudomonadati; Pseudomonadota; Gammaproteobacteria; Enterobacterales; Enterobacteriaceae
Description: bacterial LSU rRNA
Rfam family: Bacterial large subunit ribosomal RNA
Source: RNAcentral